This 382-nucleotide ribosomal RNA is filed under the name uncultured eukaryote. Its description in RNAcentral is "partial 18S ribosomal RNA". It matches the Rfam family "Eukaryotic small subunit ribosomal RNA", at positions 592 to 975 of the family's 1831-position model. The record is from RNAcentral.
CAAUAGCGUAUAUUAAAGUUGUUGCAGUUAAAAAGCUCGUAGUUGGAUUUCUGGUAGGAGUGACCGUUCCGAACUUGAUUGUUCGUGUAUUGUGUUUUCUCCAGCCAUCCUUGUGGAGAACUUUUCUUGCAUUUAUUUGUAGGGAUUGGGACCCGCAUCGUUUACUGUGAAAAAAUUAGAGUGUUUAAAGCAGGCAGUCGCUUGAAUACAUUAGCAUGGAAUAAUAAGAUAGGACUUUGGUACUAUUUUGUUGGUUUGCAUACCAAAUUAAUGAUCAACAGGAACAGUUUGAGGAUAUUCGUAUGAACAUGUCAGAGGUGAAAUUCUUGGAUUUUGAUCAGACGAACUACUGCGAAAGCAUUUAUCAAGGAUGUUUUCAUUA